UGGGGGAUAUUGCACAAUGGGCGAAAGCCUGAUGCAGCGACGCCGCGUGGGGGAUGAAGGCCUUCGGGUUGUAAACUUCUUUUGCUCUGAACAAGGCGCACCAUGGGGUGUGUUGAGUGUAGGGGUUGAUUAGCGCCGGCUAACUACGUGCCAGCAGCCGCGGUAAUACGUAGGGCGCGAGCGUUGUCCGGAAUUAUUGGGCGUAAAGGGCUUGUAGGUGGCUGGUUGCGUCUGUCGUGAAAGCUCAUGGCUUAACUGUGGGUUUGCGGUGGGUACGGGCUGGAUUAAAUGCAGUAGGGGAGGCUGGAAUUCCUGGUGUAGCGGUGGAAUGCGCAGAUAUCAGGAGGAAUACCGGUGGCGAAGGCGGGUCUCUGGGCUGUUACUGACACUGAGGAGCGAAAGCAUGGGGAGCGAACAGG
RNAcentral lists this ribosomal RNA (419 nucleotides) under bacterium. Its description in RNAcentral is "partial 16S ribosomal RNA". It matches the Rfam family "Bacterial small subunit ribosomal RNA", at positions 355 to 776 of the family's 1533-position model. The record is from RNAcentral.